ACCAGCCUGCAGGAGCAAAGAAGAUGCACAAUGAAGUCAAAAUGAAAAGUAGACAACAACAAAUACUGUUUUAAGGUACUUCGCUCCAGUGGAAAAAAGCCAUUUACAUUUAAUAAAAACUUCAAAAACCAUUUAAAACAGACCUUUACUUUUCUGAAAUAAAAAUAAUUAAAUAAAAAGAAACUCUUGGCGUUCCACUUUGUAAGAUCGUAUUAUUCACUUUUUGACAGAACGGAAAAUGUUUUAUAGUCAGUUUAUUCUCAGUCAUUCCACUUUUAAAAAGAAAGUGCUUUUAUUUUGGAGGAACGUGGCGUGUUUCCACUAUCGGAGCUUCAGGGUAAUUUUACUGGAACGUAACAACAUGGACGUGUGUCUCCGUGGCCGGCCAAAAGGGCCAUUUUCAGGAACUAACGAAGUACAGGAGCUGGGUCUGUGCUUGGAAUGGCCCGGUAGAGUCUCUGAGGGAAAAUUUUGGUUAACUCGCACUGACUGGUUGUAAUUCAGUAAAAAGACAUCGACAGACAUUGCCCAAACAACCAGCAUUUGUAAAAUUGUAAGAGUUGCUGAUAAAGCAGAAUAGAAGAAAAAGAAAAUAAGCAACAUUCAUGCAAACGAGAAAACAUUCAAUCACUGUUUCUAAACUCCCAAUAGGGCGAUGUGACUAAGACUUUUUCUAUCAUAGGUGAAAUAUUUAUCGUUUCAUAUGAAGCUCCGUCGUUUAUGCCACGGUUAGGCGUUUCACGGCAGCAUUCUACGUCAAGAUGCACCUUACGGCAUGCCCACGCGCGCUAGCCGUGCACAAACAAACAUGGGGGAAGACUGUAGCAGACGUGGUUCGGACCAGGGUACUUUUCAACAGGAUGACCUGCCGACCAAAACUGAAGAGCUUGCAUCUAAAAGAAGGGCUUUUAACCCGCGGCGGCUUACCAAAAUCAAGCCCUUGUUGUCUCGAGUACAUAUGGAGUCAGUGCUCCAUGCGUUUGUUUUAUCCAGGCUCGACUACUGCAAUGAUUUUUAUGUUGGGCAAAGUCAGGCAGCACUGAGACGUCUACAGUUGGUUCAGAACUCUGUGGCCAGAUUUCUGACAGGGACAAGGAGGUCGGCACACAUCACUCCUGUGCUGGCCUCAUUACAUUGGCUCCCUGUAGGUUUUUGGGCUAAGUUUAAAGUUAUGUGCAAUGUCUUCCGAUCUCUUUAUGGUGGUGCCCCACCGUACUUGGCAGCAUUAAUAAAAAGGCAUACCCCAUCACGGACUCUACAUUCGGCUGAUCUGGAGCUACUGAUUGCUCCACAAACUAGGUACAGAUCUAGAGGUGAUCUGGCUUUCUCGGUCUUGGCUCCUUCUUUCUGGAAUGAGCGUCCACUUGAUAUUAAACUGUCACCUUAGCUGCAGGUUUUUAAGACUCAUUUUUAUUGUUUGGCUUUUAUGUGACCUGGUUGUAUGCUUUUAUGCUCCUUGUUUACAUUUUGCAUGUUGCUUUUACCUCCUUUUUAUUGCUAUCUGUGCUUUUACUGUAUUUUAUGUUCAGCGCCUUGGGCUCCUGCAAAGGCAGUGGAAGGCGCUAUACAGAUAAAGAUUGAUUGAAUGAUCUUCUGUUGCAUGGAAGUGGCUUGGAUAUAGAAAGGCCGACAUGGACCAGUAGAAUUUGCCGGCUCUCUGUGCCAACAACAAACUCCAACACUACAAAUUUAUUUUACCACCUGCGCAAGAACCCUGAAAAAGGAUUCAGAGAGUGUCAACAAGCAAAUGCCGUAAAAGCAGCAUCGAGUGGUAGCGCAAGUGCUCAUAACAAACUCCAGACAGAUGCAGCAACAGGCGCGUGGGACAACGUGUAACCACAGCUGGCCGCAGAUGGAAGGAGUUCACUACUGUAGUUGCCAAGCACAUCUGCAAAGGUAUGGUUCCAAUCUACACAGUUGAGAAAUGGGUCAAAUGGGUCCAGUCUCUGAGAGGUAAGUAGCUUUUUGCCACAGCUAAAGCUGUAUUUAGCUUAGCUAAAAGUAAUAUUGUAUGACUGCCUCAACAGGUGUACCUGCAGCCACUGCACAUCAUUGUCUGCCAGAGAAAAUGUGUGCUGCAGAGAAACGCCCAAGGUAAUGCUCAGGUGUCAGCAGGUGGGUGUAACCUCCUGCAUAACUGAGCAUCCUGGUUUUGAGCCUGUUGCUCUGAAUCCCUACGUGUUGCAGGCAGUUUAUGGCACCUUUCUGCAACUCUAUGGGGAGAUGCAGGAGACUAUGCUCAACAGCUGUUACAGACAUCUGGCGUACCGGAAUGUGGUCAGGUGGUGUUGGGGUUACCUGGGACAGCACGUUCGUGUUGUGAUCCCGUCAUGCGCUGUCUCCAGAAUAAGGUAGGAGUUCCCAGAAGAUGGUGCAUACAAAG
Non-coding RNA from Nothobranchius furzeri (turquoise killifish), 2383 nucleotides. The record is from RefSeq and is a predicted model, not a curated record. Lineage: Eukaryota; Metazoa; Chordata; Actinopteri; Cyprinodontiformes; Nothobranchiidae.